This 1158-nucleotide ribosomal RNA is filed under the name Acanthosaura lepidogaster. Its description in RNAcentral is "partial 16S ribosomal RNA". It matches the Rfam family "Bacterial large subunit ribosomal RNA", at positions 558 to 2593 of the family's 2925-position model. The record is from RNAcentral. Lineage: Eukaryota; Metazoa; Chordata; Lepidosauria; Squamata; Agamidae.
AAGCAAAAAAAAGCAGGAGUUAACCCCCGUACCUUUUGCAUCACAGUUUAGCAAGAACACGCAAACAAGACGCCUCCAAGUCUGCCCCCCCGAACGCAAGUGAGCUAUUUUUAAACAGUUUAAAGAACAAACCCAUUUCUGUAGCAAAAGAACGGGAAGAUUUAAAAAUAGCGGUGAAAAGCCAACCGAACUUGCUGAUAGCUGGUUGCCUGACACAUGAACUUUAGUUCAAACCUGACACACACCAUAAACAAAUAUGUACCCUUUAACCCAGGAACUAGUCAACGAAGGUACAGCUCCAUUGACACAGGACACAGCCUUUAUUAGAGAGAAAACAGCUACAAAAGCACUGUAGGCCUCAAAACAGCCACCAUAGAGUAUUACGUUACAGUAACACAACAAAAAUACAAUACAAUCCCACCUCCUACCAAAACCCCAGGCCAUUCUAUUAUGUCCAACAUAGAAGAAACAAUGCUAAAAUUAGUAAUAAGAAGCACUCUUCACGGACAAAAGUUUUUCAUCAUCAGACCACAAACACAUGAAAUCCGCUCCACAGAUCAUAAAACACACUGUAAGCCCAACCAAGGUUUGUCCACGAAAGACCAACAACCUAAAAAGGAACUCGGCAAACUUCCUCUCCAACUGUUUACCAAAAACAUAGCCUUUAGCCCCACCACAAUUAAAGGUACCGCCUGCCCAAUGAGACCUCCCCCUUAAACGGCCGCGUAUAUAACCGUGCAAAGGUAGCAAAAUCAUUCGUCCCACAAAUAGGGACCAGUAUGAACGGCAACAUGAGAGAGAAACUGUCUCUUUAGGCCAGCCAAUGAACUUGACCUUCCUGUACAAACGCAGGAAUACGAAAACAAGACAAAAAGACCCUGUGAAACUUCAAGUGUCCGUCAAACCAAUGGCCGAGACACUUUAGGUUGGGGCAACCUAAGAGAAACACAAACCUCAUCAUCAAUCGCACGGCAAACAGGCCAACCGAUCACACCAAUAGACCCAGUAAAACUGACUAAAGAACCAAGCUACUCCAGGGAUAACAGCGCCACAUUCUUGAAGAGUCCACAUCAACAAGAAUACCUACGACCUCGAUGUUGGAUUAGGGUAUCCUAAUGGCGCAAAAGCUAUUAAGGGCUCGUUUGUCAACGAUUAAAA